UACCUCAAUGGGCAGGUUCUCAGGACUGAAUGCUUGGGAAAUCGGAGAGCUCGUAUCCUACACAGAGAAGUAGCUCUUCGUUGUUACUUUCUCAGUGACCCAGCUCAGCUUCACUAACGCUUCAGGCGUGGUUAUUUUCUUCUACUAGGGAAAGGGUUGUGCUCGGUAGAGGAAGAACGUGUUGAUUCACGCCAUCCACCAGGUGAAGUACGAGAUUUCACGCUCUUAUGAGAAAGUUGAUGAGACGCUAAAGCUUAUUCUUAAACAGGAAGUAGUUGGAUUGUUCUUUGGAGGUCUACAUGCAGGUUCUCAGGACUGAAUGCUUGAGAAAUAGGAGAGCUCGUAUCCUACACAGAGAAGUAGCUCUUCGUUGUUACUUCCUCAGUGACCCAGCUCAGCUUCACUUACACUUCAGGCGUGGUUAUUUUCUUCUACUAGGGAAAGGGUUGUGCUCGGUUGAGGAAGAACGUGUUUAU
Molecule: long non-coding RNA, 476 nt
Organism: Diospyros lotus (date-plum)
Lineage: Eukaryota; Viridiplantae; Streptophyta; Magnoliopsida; Ericales; Ebenaceae
Exons: 6
Source: RefSeq, a predicted model, not a curated record